This 492-nucleotide ribosomal RNA is filed under the name uncultured bacterium. RNAcentral describes it as "partial 16S ribosomal RNA". It matches the Rfam family "Bacterial small subunit ribosomal RNA", at positions 29 to 507 of the family's 1533-position model. The record is from RNAcentral.
AGUGAACGCUGGCGGUAGGCCUAACACAUGCAAGUCGAACGGCAGCACAGUAAGAGCUUGCUCUUACGGGUGGCGAGUGGCGGACGGGUGAGGAAUACAUCCGAAUCUACUUUUUCGUGGGGGAUAACGUAGGGAAACUUACGCUAAUACCGCAUACGACCUACGGGUGAAAGCAGGGGAUCUUCGGACCUUGCGCGAUUGAAUGAGCCGAUGUCGGAGUAGCUAGUUGGCGGGGUAAAGGCCCACCAAGGCGACGAUCCGUAGCUGGUCUGAGAGGCUGGUCGGCCACACUGGAACUGAGACACGGACCAGACUCCUACGGGAGGCAGCAGUGGGGAAUAUUGGACAAUGGGCGGAAGCCUGAUCCAGCCAGACCGCGUGGGUGGAGAAGGCCUUCGGGUUGUAAAGCCCUUUUGUUGGGAAAGAAAAGCAGCAGGUUAAUACCCCGCGGUUCUGACGGUACCCAAAGAAUAAGCACCGGCUAACUUCGUG